RNAcentral lists this ribosomal RNA (497 nucleotides) under uncultured bacterium. RNAcentral's name for it is "partial 16S ribosomal RNA". It matches the Rfam family "Bacterial small subunit ribosomal RNA", at positions 28 to 507 of the family's 1533-position model. The record is from RNAcentral.
GAUGAACGCUGGCGGCGUGCCUAAUACAUGCAAGUCGAGCGAACAGACGAGGAGCUUGCUCCUCUGACGUUAGCGGCGGACGGGUGAGUAACACGUGGAUAACCUACCUAUAAGACUGGGAUAACUUCGGGAAACCGGAGCUAAUACCGGAUAAUAUAUUGAACCGCAUGGUUCAAUAGUGAAAGACGGUUUUGCUGUCACUUAUAGAUGGAUCCGCGCCGCAUUAGCUAGUUGGUAAGGUAACGGCUUACCAAGGCAACGAUGCGUAGCCGACCUGAGAGGGGGGUCGGCCACACUGGAACUGAGACACGGUCCAGACUCCUACGGGGGGCAGCAGUAGGGAAUCUUCCGCAAUGGGCGAAAGCCUGACGGAGCAACGCCGCGUGAGUGAUGAAGGUCUUCGGAUCGUAAAACUCUGUUAUUAGGGAAGAACAAAUGUGUAAGUAACUAUGCACGUCUUGACGGUACCUAAUCAGAAAGCCACGGCUAACUACGUG